AGUAAACGGCGGCCGUAACUAUAACGGUCCUAAGGUAGCGAAAUUCCUUGUCGGGCAAGUUCCGACCUGCACGAAUGGCAUAAUAAUGGCCACACUGUCUCCUCCCGAGACUCAGUGAAAUUGAAAUGUUUGUGAUGAUGCAAUCUCCCCGCGGCUAGACGGAAAGACCCCAUGAACCUUAACUGUAGCUUUGCAUUGGACUUUGAACCGAUCUGUGUAGGAUAGGCGGGAGGCUUUGAAGAAUGGACGCCAGUUCAUUCGGAGCCGUCGUUGAAAUACCGCCCUGAUUUGUUUGAGGUUCUAACCUGGGCCAGUGAUCCUGGCUGGGGACCGUGCAUGGUGGGCAGUUUGACUGGGGCGGUCUCCUCCUAAAGGGUAACGGAGGAGUGCGAAGGUACGCUAAUCACGGUCGGAAAUCGUGAGGAUACUGCAAUGGGAAAAGCGUGCCUGACUGCGAGACAGACAAGUCGAGCAGAUGCGAAAGCAGGUCAUAGUGAUCCGGUGGCUUCUGUAUGGAAGGGCCAUCGCUCAACGGAUAAAAGGUACUCUGGGGAUAACAGGCUGAUACCGCCCAAGAGUUCAUAUCGACGGCGGUGUUUGGCACCUCGAUGUCGGCUCAUCUCAUCCUGGGGCUGAAGUCGGUCCCAAGGGUAUGGCUGUUCGCCAUUUAAAGAGGUACGUGAGCUGGGUUUAAAACGUCGUGAGACAGUUUGGUCCCUAUCUACCGCGGGCGCUGGAAGAUUGACAGGGGCUGCUCCUAGUACGAGAGGACCGGAGUGGACGCACCUCUGGUGUAUCGGUUGUGACGCCAGUCGCAUUGCCGAGUAGCUAUGUGCGGAAGAGAUAACCGCUGAAAGCAUCUAAGCGGGAAACUUGCCUGAAGAUUAGUCUUCCCGGAGGCUUGACCUCCCUGAAGGGUCGUCCGAGACCAGGACGUUGAUAGGCCAGGUGUGGAAGCGCUGUGAGGCGUGAAGCUAACUGGUACUAAUUGCCCGUGCGGCUUGAUCCU
RNAcentral lists this ribosomal RNA (1009 nucleotides) under human gut metagenome. Its description in RNAcentral is "bacterial LSU rRNA". It matches the Rfam family "Bacterial large subunit ribosomal RNA", at positions 1922 to 2925 of the family's 2925-position model. The record is from RNAcentral.